Sinocyclocheilus rhinocerous is the source of this 730-nucleotide long non-coding RNA. RefSeq lists it as uncharacterized. Lineage: Eukaryota; Metazoa; Chordata; Actinopteri; Cypriniformes; Cyprinidae. The record is from RefSeq and is a predicted model, not a curated record. The transcript has 3 exons.
AAAGAUUUCAGAUUUGAAGUAGGCUAAGUUACACUAAAAGUGCAUAAUUUCAAUACAGUUAAGUGCACUUCUUUUUCACAAGGGUAUCAGUACAACAACAAAAACAGUACAAAUCGAAUAUUUCCCUUAUUUUUCAAAGCAGGGUAACUGCACGUGACAGACUUCUGAUUCAUAUGUAAAAUAAACAACAAAAAGAAAAGUGCAGUAAAUAGUAAAACUGUUUGCGUUACAACCCAAUGUGUUUAUGAUAAUUAAAAUAACAUAAUGACAAAUACGGGUUUGCAACAUUAAGCAGCAUUACUGACUGUUUUUGUGUAGCCGAAAUAACUAAGCGGCUGACACCGGAAGUCUCGCACAUUCAACGUAAAAAUGGCCACACCCCCAAAAAAUUAGGUGAAAAGGAGAAUCUCAAAAAUCUGUUGGCGAGAGACCACUUCAUUUUUUUAUAAAAAUCUAAUGAAGUAAAACACUCUCACAGUUUUGGCUUUGUGUUUAUGUUUUGUAGAGUUGACGUUGUCUUGUUUACUGAGCAGAAGACCUCUAGAGGGAGCUGUGAGCCUAUUUACACACUCUUUUCCAUUGCGUGGCCAUUGGACUCCUACUUUUGGAGAAAAACUGUCUGUGUGCUGAAGAUAAUGGCUGAAAUUAUGAGCAUCGGCAGUUAAGUCGGGAAAGGACUUAAAAUUGUAUGUGUCUAAAUAAUGCUUUUAUUGUUGGAUGAUUUUUUUCC